UUGCUGGGGUACACGAGUGGCGAACGGGUGAGUAACACGUGGGUGACCUGCCCUGCACUUCGGGAUAAGCCUGGGAAACUGGGUCUAAUACCGGAUAGGACCGCACCGUGAGGGUGUGGUGGAAAGUUUUUUCGGUGUGGGAUGGGCCCGCGGCCUAUCAGCUUGUUGGUGGGGUAAUGGCCUACCAAGGCGGCGACGGGUAGCCGGCCUGAGAGGGUGGACGGCCACAUUGGGACUGAGACACGGCCCAGACUCCUACGGGAGGCAGCAGUGGGGAAUAUUGCACAAUGGGCGGAAGCCUGAUGCAGCGACGCCGCGUGGGGGAUGACGGCCUUCGGGUUGUAAACUCCUUUCACCAUCGACGAAGGGUUUCUGACGGUAGAUGGAGAAGAAGCACCGGCUAACUACGUGCCAGCAGCCGCGGUAAUACGUAGGGUGCGAGCGUUGUCCGGAAUUACUGGGCGUAAAGAGCUCGUAGGUGGUUUGUCGCGUCGUCUGUGAAAUUCCGGGGCUUAACUCCGGGCGUGCAGGCGAUACGGGCAUAACUUGAGUACUGUAGGGGAGACUGGAAUUCCUGGUGUAGCGGUGAAAUGCGCAGAUAUCAGGAGGAACACCGGUGGCGAAGGCGGGUCUCUGGGCAGUAACUGACGCUGAGGAGCGAAAGCAUGGGGAGCGAACAGGAUUAGAUACCCUGGUAGUCCAUGCCGUAAACGGUGGGCGCUAGGUGUGGGUUUCCUUCCACGGGAUCCGUGCCGUAGCUAACGCAUUAAGCGCCCCGCCUGGGGAGUACGGCCGCAAGGCUAAAACUCAAAGGAAUUGACGGGGGCCCGCACAAGCGGCGGAGCAUGUGGAUUAAUUCGAUGCAACGCGAAGAACCUUACCUGGGCUUGACAUAUACAGGAUCGCGCCAGAGAUGGUGUUUCCCUUGUGGCUUGUAUACAGGUGGUGCAUGGUUGUCGUCAGCUCGUGUCGUGAGAUGUUGGGUUAAGUCCCGCAACGAGCGCAACCCUUGUCUUAUGUUGCCAGCACGUUGUGGUGGGGACUCGUAAGAAACUGCCGGGGUUAACUCGGAGGAAGGUGGGGAUGACGUCAAAUCAUCAUGCCCCUUAUGUCCAGGGCUUCACACAUGCUACAAUGGUCGGUACAGUGGGUUGCCAGUCCGUGAGGGCGAGCUAAUCCCGCAAAGCCGGUCUCAGUUCGGAUCGGGGUCUGCAACUCGACCCCGUGAAGUCGGANUCGCUAGUAAUCGCAGAUCAGCAACGCUGCGGUGAAUACGUUCCCGGGCCUUGUACACACCGCCCGUCACGUCAUGAAAGUCGGUAACACCCGAAGCCAGUGGCCUAACAC
This 1347-nucleotide ribosomal RNA is filed under the name Corynebacterium amycolatum. RNAcentral's name for it is "bacterial SSU rRNA". It matches the Rfam family "Bacterial small subunit ribosomal RNA", at positions 79 to 1441 of the family's 1533-position model. The record is from RNAcentral. Lineage: Bacteria; Bacillati; Actinomycetota; Actinomycetes; Mycobacteriales; Corynebacteriaceae.